RNAcentral lists this ribosomal RNA (454 nucleotides) under uncultured microorganism. Its description in RNAcentral is "bacterial SSU rRNA". It matches the Rfam family "Archaeal small subunit ribosomal RNA", at positions 330 to 745 of the family's 1478-position model. The record is from RNAcentral.
GUGCAGCAGUCGAGAAAACUCCGCAAUGCCCGAAAGGGUGACGGGGGAUUCCAAGUGCCUACGCUUAGCGUAGGCUGUUCAGGUGCCUAAAAAGCACCUGGAGGAAGGGCUGGGUAAGACGGGUGCCAGCCGCCGCGGUAAUACCCGCAGCCCGAGUGGUAGUCGCUUUUAUUGGGCCUAAAGCGUCCGUAGCCGGUCUGGUAAAUGCCUGGGUAAAUCGUGGGGCUUAACCUCACGAAUUCCGGGUAGACUGCCAGACUUGGGACCGGUUGAGGGAGAGGGGUACUCCAGGGGUAGGGGUGAAAUCAGCAAGGUAAGCUGAUGUAACUUGCCUUGCAAGUCACAAUCCUGUAAUCCUUGGAGGACCACCGGUGGCGAAAGCGCUCUCCUAGGACGGGUCCGACGGUGAGGGACGAAAGCCAGGGGAGCAAACCGGAUUAGAUACCCCUGUAGU